This is an RNA transcript of Malania oleifera, 1198 nucleotides long. It is a transcript of the gene named thioredoxin X, chloroplastic, with no coding region annotated. The transcript has 4 exons. The record is from RefSeq and is a predicted model, not a curated record. Lineage: Eukaryota; Viridiplantae; Streptophyta; Magnoliopsida; Santalales; Ximeniaceae.
GGACACCGACCCCAUCUCCUUUCGAUUCACCAUUUCCUCAUGCUCUAAGCCUCUCUCUCUCUCUCUCUCUCUCUCUCUCUCUCUCUCAAACUGAGCUCGAUCAUGGGGACGAUAAUCACAAGCUCGACGCCUAUUUUCGCAUUUUCAUCUUCAUCUCCGGCUAUUCGUAUGGUCACCUCCUCCGCCUGCAGCUCCCACGGCAGUUACCCCGCACUUUCGCCCAACAAGAUCUCCUAUCGUUCCCUGAGUAGGAGAAACUCACGGAUUUCUAGAGGCUUCGGUGUUCGUAGAUUUGCGAUAUCCAGCGGCGUCGUGGAGAUUAGACAGAGUGAGUUCUCCGAGACUGUACUGAAGUCCGAUCGUCCGGUACUCGUUGAGUUCGUCGCCAACUGGUGCGGUCCUUGUCGCUUGAUUUCUCCGUCCAUAGAAUCGCUCGCUGAGGAAUAUGGGGACAGAGUAACUGUUGUAAAGAUUGAUCAUGAUCAGAACCCGCAGCUAAUUGAAGAGUACAAAGUUUACGGGUUGCCAACUUUGAUUCUCUUUAAAAAUGGACGCGAAGUUGCGGAAAGCAGAAGAGAAGGUGCAAUGACGAAGGCCAAGCUCCGAGAGUACGUUGAGGCAUUGUUGGACUCGGUAUCAGUCCCAUAGCCUUAGCCUUCUUUUGGACAGCCUACUGAGUAGAAAUCUGAAGAGAACGACAGGUCAGGGCCGCCGCUGAGUGAGUUGAGCUUCCCUAUUAGAAGGGGUUGUGCGGCCCGUAGGCGGGACUUAAUCUGGUCGGCCCUCCAGAUAAGUCAUAUACUCUACACUACCUCAGCUUGGCCAAACUGCAUCCACUCCUAAGCUCAGGACUAACUACUACCUCGUCAAAUCGGCCCCCUCGACCCAGUGAACCGGGGAGCUGCAUACUCUUUGAGCACGGUCGACGGUACCCACACACUAUCUGAGAUAUGUGGUUGCACUCUAUCUGUAUAUAUAGCAAUGGUACCGUGCUUUGUAUUCUUUAUCUAUAUCUGUCUGUAUUCUUUCCUCAGGGAUCUGAUACUAUAUAUAUACUCUUUUACUGUUUUCAUCAUGUUUCCAAAAUUACCGUAACGCUAUCUUUCUAUACUAUAAAUACUGUAAUCUCUGUAUACUGUAUCUGCAGCAUCUUGAUGCUAUCUCUGUAUACCUAUCUGUAUACUCUGUUUAUAUGCUC